RNAcentral lists this ribosomal RNA (599 nucleotides) under Acrobeloides sp. MCb28f-r. Its description in RNAcentral is "SSU rRNA". It matches the Rfam family "Eukaryotic small subunit ribosomal RNA", at positions 1030 to 1655 of the family's 1831-position model. Lineage: Eukaryota; Metazoa; Nematoda; Chromadorea; Rhabditida; Cephalobidae. The record is from RNAcentral.
CCGUAAACGAUGCCAACUAGCGAUCCGCCGGUGGAUUUUUAGCCCUGGUGGGUAGCUUCCCGGAAACGAAAGUCUUCCGGUUCCGGGGGAAGUAUGGUUGCAAAGCUGAAACUUAAAGGAAUUGACGGAAGGGCACCACCAGGAGUGGAGCCUGCGGCUUAAUUUGACUCAACACGGGGAAACUCACCCGGCCCGGACACCGUAAGGAUUGACAGAUUGAUAGCUCUUUCAUGAUUCGGUGGUUGGUGGUGCAUGGCCGUUCUUAGUUCGUGGAUCGAUUUGUCUGGUUUAUUCCGAUAACGAGCGAGACUCUAGCCUACUAAAUAGUAACGAGAUUAUCAAUGUCUCAGUUGCUUCUUAGAGGGAUUUUCGGUGUUUAGCCGCACGAGAUUGAGCAAUAACAGGUCUGUGAUGCCCUUAGAUGUCCGGGGCUGCACGCGCGCUACACUGGCGAAAUCAGCGUGCUGUAUCCAUUCUCGAAAGGGAUUGGUAAACCCAUGAAAAUUUGCCGUGCUUGGGAUCGGAAAUUGCAAUUAUUUUCCGUGAACGAGGAAUUCCAAGUAAGUGCGAGUCAUCAACUCGCUCUGAUUACGUCCCUG